UACGGAAGGCGCAGUGGGGAAUAUUGCACAAUGGGCGAAAGCCUGAUGCAGCUAUGCCGCGUGUAUGAAGAAGGCCUUAGGGUUGUAAAGUACUUUCAUCGGGGAGGAAAAAACAAAACUAAUAAUUUUAUUUCUUGACGUUACCCGAAAAAGAAGCACCGGCUAACUCCGUGCCAGCAGCCGCGGUAAUACGGAGGGUGCUAGCGUUAAUCAGAAUUACUGGGCGUAAAGAGCACGUAGGUGGUUUUUUUAAGUCAGAUGUGAAAUCCCUGGGCUUAACCUGGAACUGCAUUUUGAAACUGAAAUACUAGAGUAUCGUAGAGGGAGGUAGAAUUCUAGGUGUAGCGGUGAAAUGCGUAGAUAUCUGGAGGAAUACCUGUGGCGAAAGCGGCCUCCUAAACGAAUACUGACACUGAGGGUGCGAAAGCGUGGGGAGCAAACAGGGAUUAGAUACC
This 455-nucleotide ribosomal RNA is filed under the name uncultured bacterium. RNAcentral's name for it is "bacterial SSU rRNA". It matches the Rfam family "Bacterial small subunit ribosomal RNA", at positions 340 to 786 of the family's 1533-position model. The record is from RNAcentral.